AUUUGAGCAUAUGUUCUAGAGAUUCAGUCAGAAUAUGAAUGCUAUACAAUCUAAACACUAUAAAGCAACCUGGUCAUGAGGUGAUCUACGUACUCUCUUUGGACGUGAAAAAUUAUAUCAACGUUCCAUGAUGGUGAGCUGUUCUUCUGGUGUGAUAUUUCCCCGUCGCACAUCAGGUCGGAGGUAGUUCAGCCACCGGAGCCGGCAACUUUUCCCGAUUUGGCGAGAGAGUUCCAAACACCUUCACCAUGAUUGGCGAUAUAAUUGAUGAGAAUCAAAUCUUCUUCCAUCGUCCAUGGCCCUUUUCUCACCUCUGCAUCUCCUGAUCCAGACCCACCACUACUUUCUCUUUUCUCCAUUUUUAUGAAAUGAAUCUAAAUAAGUACUCUAUAUAAUUGAUAGAUGAUGAUAUUUUUCUAGAGAGAGAAAUAGAAAGGGAGAGUUGUGAAAGUGAGAGAGAGAGUUGAUAUUUUGAGGUGGUGGGCAGGUAGCUACUGCUUUUAUAGAGAAGGUUUUUCAAGAGUUUAAGGCAUUGUUAAUAACCUUUAAUCCAAAAUCUUAAAUGUCUUUUAGAUA
RNAcentral lists this long non-coding RNA (576 nucleotides) under Arabidopsis thaliana (thale cress). Its description in RNAcentral is "ncRNA (AT5G40348)". Lineage: Eukaryota; Viridiplantae; Streptophyta; Magnoliopsida; Brassicales; Brassicaceae. The record is from RNAcentral.